AAUAUUCCCAUCACUUGGAGCAAAAUAUUCAUUGAUACCAGAUGAUCGAUAUGGUACAACUAUAACUGUUGAACUUUGCAGUGUUACGUAUGAGUCAGAUCAAGAGAUGGAUGUAAAUCAAGAAUCUGAUACUGAAACUAACGAAGUUUCAAGUACACAAAAUAAUGAUGUUGCCAUAGAAGAAUAAUAUAUAAAAAGGAAAAAAUAUAAUAACGAAUUCCUAUUUUUUUAAAU
Aphidius gifuensis is the source of this 234-nucleotide long non-coding RNA. RefSeq lists it as uncharacterized. Lineage: Eukaryota; Metazoa; Arthropoda; Insecta; Hymenoptera; Braconidae. The record is from RefSeq and is a predicted model, not a curated record. The transcript is spliced from 3 exons.